Long non-coding RNA from Choloepus didactylus (southern two-toed sloth), 713 nucleotides. RefSeq lists it as uncharacterized. The record is from RefSeq and is a predicted model, not a curated record. The transcript is spliced from 5 exons. NCBI's taxonomy places the organism in Eukaryota, Metazoa, Chordata, Mammalia, Pilosa, Megalonychidae.
CGUGCGGUCGCCGUGCCUCGUUGACACCCGUCAUCCAGCGAAAUCUCUCGACAUCCCGCAUCUUCUCGCGCGGACCUCGUUGUCCUCGCUCUCAUCCGGCGCCAUUGGUCUCGGCGGCCCGGAUGAGUCCAUGGUGGGGCUCUGCUCAGCGCCUCGUGUGCACGGGGAGCGGUCCCUAAGGCCCAUGCUGCAGUCCUCUUUCCCCCUCAAUACCCAUCAUCAGGAGGGAAACUGAGGCCCGGAGAGAGGCGAGGAGGGGAGCUCCUGCCGAAGAUGGGCGCCCGAGCCCAGACCCGGCUCCGGGUUCAGUGCUCCUUCCUCUCCUCCCGGCUUGGACCUCUCGGGAUUCGCGUUUCCUGGAGAAAGAGGGCCACGGGGGGCUGAGCGGGUCUCUUGUACACAAGAUGAAAACUCUCCCUUGGAAGGCUUUGCUGGUUCUGCAUCAGCCGGCGCCCUGGUGUCUCCUGAUCCACACUCCUGGACGCCCUCCCAUUGUCCUUAAAGAAGGCAGCUCAGUGCAGGAAGACCCAAGAGAGGUGUCUCCAUCCUGUCAGGAAGCAGCUGGACCAUGAGGUUCCUGAGUGUGGGAUCACAGUCCUGUGUGCCUAGGACUCCGUGUGCUGUGUCUUCAAGAACAAACGGGACCAUGAUGCUUUUAAGGGUGGGUCUAAAUUAAAUCACUGGAGCCAUAUAAAUGAGCUGACCAACAGAAG